CCUUGCCAUGCCUAGUCAAGAUGUGGUC
RNAcentral lists this non-coding RNA (28 nucleotides) under Rattus norvegicus (Norway rat). Lineage: Eukaryota; Metazoa; Chordata; Mammalia; Rodentia; Muridae. The record is from RNAcentral.